GACAUUGACCUCAGCGAUGUGGA
This 23-nucleotide non-coding RNA is filed under the name Cricetulus griseus (Chinese hamster). Lineage: Eukaryota; Metazoa; Chordata; Mammalia; Rodentia; Cricetidae. The record is from RNAcentral.